RNAcentral lists this small RNA (83 nucleotides) under Marmota monax (woodchuck). Lineage: Eukaryota; Metazoa; Chordata; Mammalia; Rodentia; Sciuridae. The record is from RNAcentral.
GCUGGGUGCAGUGGCGUGUGUCUGUAAUCCCAGCAGCUGAGGAGGCUGAGGCAGGAGGAUCCCGAGUUGAAAGCCAGCCUCAA